CUAACAAACUUUUUAGUAUCUGCCAAGCCGUUUCUUUCAUCGCCGGCUGGCGCCCGUGGAUCGGCGCGGUCGCAAGUAUUUUUCUGCCGCCGGCAAGACGGUGAAGAGAAGGGCUGGCCAACGAUGGUCCGAUCUGGUAUGGGCAAGCUCGGCGGUAGCGGUAGCAACUCCAAAUCUGCAUUUAGGCGAGCUCUUUCGAAAGUACAUACUAAUAGGCAAGAACAGGGGUCUGCCAAAAAAGCUUCCGAUGGCUCUCGCUCAAAGAAACGGAGCUCCGUCAAGAAGAAACCAUGGAAGGACAAGUUGUACACCAGGUGUGCUCCUUCUAUCAUUAUAGAUCUCUUGGAAGACCUAGGUGAGCAGCAGAGAAGGCUUGUAGAAGAGAUGGGUUUUCAGGGAUUAUAUAGUCUGAAGCUACAUAAGCUGAAUAAACCGAUAGGAGCCUGGCUCCUAAGUAAAUUUGAUGCGGAAUUGUUGCUUUUUUUCGCUGGGACAAGCAGGGAGCUCAAGAUGACACCCGAGGAUGUUAAUCGUGUGAGUGGACUCCCUUGUUCCGGCCAGAUCAUAAUACCUCCAAGCACACAGGAUGUUAGUUCCAUGAAAGCAUAUUUUUGUGGUGUUUUUAGAAAAGAUUCAUGGGAUGAAAUCACCAUCAGUAGCCUUUUGAAGAUAAUUUCAAAAAAAUAUGUUGAUCCGAUGACAAAUGAUGAGAUCCUCCAAUUCAAGACCGCGUUUGCAUUUUGUGUUGUUACCAAAUUCUUAGCUCCACAGUCCCUUAAUAACUUCAUAUCAACACGAUAUCUGAAACCGGUGUUUGAUAUGGCGAACAUUCAUACAUACAACUAGGCACACUUUGUACUCGAGGAGCUCCGACAGGCCGCACUAUCCCUUGCAAAAAACAUUGGAUACAUCAAUGGAUGCAUGUUAAUACCUCAGAUUCACUACCUGGACAGCUUGGAAAUUGGCAAAGAUUGCCCCCCCCCCCACAACAUUCUUCCAAGGUUUGCUGCAUACAACGAUAGCGUGGUCGACAAACUCAUCAAACGUGACAUAGUUCUGCAUAAUCGACUGCCUUUUCCGACGUACGGAAAAUUAAAGAUACGAAAUCCCCACAGCAUCCGCUACGAGUAUGGAGCAAUUGCACAACAGUCAGCGAACACUCCUACUACUCAUAGAACGUUUAAUUCUCUAGUUAACUUGGAGACCCCAACCUUCAACAUUGGAUUGAGCCAAUUUGAGCACGACAACAGCAUCUCAGUACGCAACCAAAUCCCCCGAGUGUCUGCAAACUUAUCGACGGAAUUCAACAUGGUAGCUGAUACAGACGUAGUGCCAGAUACACCAGAUCGGCAGCAACAAGCUGCACAAACAGAUUUUCCUGUCCAAACUCCUACAUCCAUAUCACCUCAUUCUUUAUUACAAGAAAUGAGUGCGGCAAGAAUAUCGAUACAUGAGGAAUGUGGUCUCCCAAAAGUUCAACCCAAAACAAGGAGGAGAAUCAUUGGAGAACCAUCUGAUAUGCUUGUAAACAUACCAAAGCGAAUAAUUAGACCCAGUAGAAUGGUUCAGUCCCCAUUUCUGUGCAAACAAUACAUAAGUGUGAGGGUCGAUGUCAAGGCAUUAGAAGAUUUAUACACAUAUACUAUAUCCAUUACUAAUGAAGAACAACUGAGAAAAAUCUGGGUACACAUGUCUGAACCUGUGCCCAGGUUUUUGAAACUGAAAUAGAUACAAGAAGCCCUUAGUCAAGAUGCUGAACUUCAAGAUGAUGCUUUCAAUGUUGCUGUACAAGCACUGUUCGAGGAUGAGAUAGAAAGGUUUACUGGUAGCGAUUUCUUAGGCUGGAGGCAUUUCAUAAAUCAAGAUUUUGCGAUGCAUGCAACCGCUGGCGGGGCAGACUGGAACGCCGAGGAGCAUGUCUACUUAUUCAAUGACAUUCAUAUACCAUACGACGUGUCAAAAAGCCGACUGCUACAUGUCCCUUUGCACCAACCAUUUCAUUUCUCUUUGUACACAUUCAACAUGGAGAACGAGAAGAUUCAAAUCUUGGAUCCCUUUAGGGAUAUAAGCAAAGGAGGGAAGGACAUAGAAGCUCGACACUCUAAGACGAAAGACCAUGUUGCUAGGGCAUUACAGGAGUGCAUGAUGUUUUCCUUUCCAGAUUGGAAACGUGAUAUUUCAAUCUGGCAGCAUGAGUUCCCCACAAAUAUUCCAGCAAUUACUAACAGGAUGGAAACUGCUUUCCAUGUACUGAGUUACAUGAAAAAUUGGGAUGCAAGAACCUUGGUCAACCCACUACCCUAUGAUUCAAGAGAGGCACGGAAGGACUUUCUCGCGAACCUCCUAUCCUUCAAGACUAACGAAGCAAUAAUCCCAGAGAGUGUCGACCGGCUGGUGAAAGCACUCAGGAGAAAUUAACACAACCACCUGCCGAUACGAAUAACUAUGAAGAGCAGACAGAAUACCCAUUAAGAUCAUACCGCAUUACCUAUUUUCUACACUCUGUAAUAGAAGACAUAGUACCAUCAACUUAUAGCAUAAUUUUAUGUUCCAUACAUGGAUUAUUACCCUUUCCAACCACCACUGUUAUUCCUAA
Molecule: RNA transcript, 2596 nt
Organism: Triticum aestivum (bread wheat)
Lineage: Eukaryota; Viridiplantae; Streptophyta; Magnoliopsida; Poales; Poaceae
Exons: 10
Source: RefSeq, a predicted model, not a curated record